ACACCUUCUGCCACUUGGACGUUCAAGGCUUUGGUCUGGAAAUGGCUGCAGUCUUCCAGGAGGGUUGCUAGAGCCACGCCUACCAAAGUGUCCUCCCCUGUCUUUUACAACCUAAGUUCUCCACAUAACAAAAGCCGUCGAGUCCGUAGCCUUCCUGGAUGCCCAUACAUCAGAAUCCUCAG
Molecule: long non-coding RNA, 182 nt
Filed under: Cricetulus griseus (Chinese hamster)
Lineage: Eukaryota; Metazoa; Chordata; Mammalia; Rodentia; Cricetidae
Description: lncRNA (ENSCGRG00000026530.1)
Source: RNAcentral